Molecule: unclassified non-coding RNA, 348 nt
Filed under: uncultured Lactarius
Lineage: Eukaryota; Fungi; Basidiomycota; Agaricomycetes; Russulales; Russulaceae
Description: sequence contains ITS2
Source: RNAcentral
AACGCACCUUGCGCCCCUUGGUAUUCCGAGGGGCACACCCGUUUGAGUGUCGUGAAAAUCUCAACCUUCUCGGUUUCUUCUGGAAACCAAAGGAGGCUUGGACUUUGGAGGCCUUUGCUGGCGUCUCUCUCUUUUGAGAGCCCAGCUCCUCUUAAAUGAAUUAGCGGGGUCCUCUUUGCUGGUCCUCGACAUGUGAUAAGAUGUUUCCAUGUCUUGGUUUCUGGCUCUGUUGCUUUUGGGACCCGCUUCUAACCGUCUCUAUGAGACAACGUUUGAGCACGUCUCCCGACGCUCUCAACCUCACGAACCCUUGACCUCAAAUCGGGUGAGACUACCCGCUGAACUUAA